RNAcentral lists this ribosomal RNA (1632 nucleotides) under Phylloporus sp. TH9173. RNAcentral describes it as "eukaryotic LSU rRNA". The stretch from base 714 to 1632 matches the Rfam family "Eukaryotic large subunit ribosomal RNA", at positions 1 to 917 of the family's 3401-position model. The record is from RNAcentral. Lineage: Eukaryota; Fungi; Basidiomycota; Agaricomycetes; Boletales; Boletaceae.
CAUUAUCGAAUCUUGAGAGGGGGAGAGGAAGUUCAAAAGCAAAGAGGGGGAAAUACUGUCGCUGGUCAGCUCUGUCUGACAUGUGCACGUCCUCUUUUUCUUUCGUCUUCCUUUCUCUUUCUUUCUCUCACACCUGUGCACCCAUCGUAGGUGCCCUCGAAAGAGGGAAACCUAUGUAUUUCUACAUCACACUCAAUGUAUGGCCUGGAAUCUACUUUGAAUCGUUACAACUUUCAGCAACGGAUCUCUUGGCUCUCGCAUCGAUGAAGAACGCAGCGAAUUGCGAUAAGUAAUGUGAAUUGCAGAUUUUCAGUGAAUCAUCGAAUCUUUGAACGCACCUUGCGCUCCUUGGUAUUCCGAGGAGCAUGCCUGUUUGAGUGUCAUUAAAUUCUCAACCAUCUCUUGAUCGAUUUCAAGGAUAUGGCUUGGAGUUGGGAGCUGUCGGUGUCAAAGGACAUCAACUCUCCUGAAAUGCAUUAGCAAAGGGGCAGGCAAGUCUCUUGGUCAUGCAUGACCUUUCGAUGUGAUAAUGAUCAUCGUGGGUGAAGCACGUCCAGAUCUUGCAAGUCAGGCUCACAUGUUUGCUUCCAACCAUGUACGAAAUUAGACUCUGGACUCGAGCCAGACCUAGCUACUAGUUGGUCUGAGGCCAGCGAACACAGGCUGGGCUUUGAAUCCUAUGUAUGAGUUUGACUUUGUGGAUUCCUUAAGCUUGACCUCAAAUCAGGUAGGACUACCCGCUGAACUUAAGCAUAUCAAUAAGCGGAGGAAAAGAAACUAACAAGGAUUCCCCUAGUAACUGCGAGUGAAGCGGGAAAAGCUCAAAUUUUGAAUCUGAUGGUCGCUUUGGCCGUCCGAGUUGUAAUCUAGAGAAGCGUUUUCUGUGCUGGCCCAUGUACAAGUCUCCUGGAAGGGAGCGUCAUAGAGGGUGAGAAUCCCGUCUCUGACAUGGACUACCAGUGCUAUGUGAUGCGCUCUCGACGAGUCGAGUUGUUUGGGAAUGCAGCUCAAAAUGGGUGGUAAAUUCCAUCUAAAGCUAAAUACAGGCGAGAGACCGAUAGCGAACAAGUACCGUGAGGGAAAGAUGAAAAGAACUUUGGAAAGAGAGUUAAACAGUACGUGAAAUUGCUGAAAGGGAAACGCUCGAUGUCAGUCACGUCGGUCGGGGAUCAACCUUGCUUCAUUGCUAGGUGUACUUCCUGGUUGACGGGUCAGCAUCAGUUUCGAUCACCAUACAAGGAUGAAGGGAAUGUGGCACUCCUUGGAGUGUGUUAUAGCCUUUCAUCAUAUGUGGUGAUUGGGACUGAGGAACUCAGCACGGCUUUCGCUUGUGCUUGGGAUGCUGGCAUAAUGGCCUUGAGCGACCCGUCUUGAAACACGGACCAAGGAGUCUAACAUGCCUGCGAGUGUUUGGGUGGCAAACUCGAGUGCGUAAUGAAAGUGAAAGUCGAGACCUCUGUCAUGGAGGGCAUCGACGCCCGGACCCGAGUCUUUGACCAAGGAUCUGCGGUAGAGCAUGCAUGUUGGGACCCGAAAGAUGGUGAACUAUGCCUGAAUAGGGUGAAGCCAGAGGAAACUCUGGUGGAGGCUCGUAGCGAUUCUGACGUGCAAAUCGAUCGUCGAAUUUGGGUA